RNAcentral lists this ribosomal RNA (287 nucleotides) under uncultured Microbacterium sp. RNAcentral describes it as "partial 16S ribosomal RNA". It matches the Rfam family "Bacterial small subunit ribosomal RNA", at positions 19 to 306 of the family's 1533-position model. Lineage: Bacteria; Bacillati; Actinomycetota; Actinomycetes; Micrococcales; Microbacteriaceae. The record is from RNAcentral.
UUGGCUCAGAACGAACGCUGGCGGCGUGCUUAACACAUGCAAGUCGAACGGUGAAGCCAAGCUUGCUUGGUGGAUCAGUGGCGAACGGGUGAGUAACACGUGAGCAACCUGCCCUGGACUCUGGGAUAAGCGCUGGAAACGGCGUCUAAUACUGGAUAUGAGCUCCUUCCGCAUGGUGGGGGUUGGAAAGAUUUUUCGGUCUGGGAUGGGCUCGCGGCCUAUCAGCUUGUUGGUGAGGUAAUGGCUCACCAAGGCGUCGACGGGUAGCCGGCCUGAGAGGGUGACCG